This 255-nucleotide ribosomal RNA is filed under the name uncultured bacterium. Its description in RNAcentral is "partial 16S ribosomal RNA". It matches the Rfam family "Bacterial small subunit ribosomal RNA", at positions 524 to 776 of the family's 1533-position model. The record is from RNAcentral.
UACGGGGGGAGCAAGCGUUGUUCGGAUUUACUGGGCGUAAAGGGCGCGUAGGCGGUCAGCACAAGUCAGUUGUGAAAUCUCCGGGCUUAACUCGGAAAGGUCAACUGAUACUGUGCGACUAGAGUGCAGAAGGGGCAACUGGAAUUCUCGGUGUAGCGGUGAAAUGCGUAGAUAUCGAGAGGAACACCUGCGGCGAAGGCGGGUUGCUGGGCCGACACUGACGCUGACAGCGCGAAAGCCAGGGGAGCAAACGGG